CAUGUUGAUCAUGGACUGAGCAAAGGCCUGAAAAAACAGACUCUGGUUACUUGCGAAGGAAGUAACAAUCGCAAUCGUGGCUGAACCGGUGGUAGAGAACAGUUCUUGGUCUGACUGAAGAAGCCCGUUGUUGCUCUGAAGGUUGGUGAAGUAAUUGUUAUCGAACGCGUCAGGUGUGCUCAGAUCAAGAUUAGUGAUCCCUGAUCCGGUGCCGUUUUGAGGACAUAUCUGUUGAAGACUGCUUAGAAGCGUAGUGUUUAGAGUUGGGUCAGGAUUUCCCGAGCCGCUGAAGUUGAAUAGUCUGUUACUGAACACUCCACAUCGAGCACGUCCGAAGGUAUGUGCACCUAUACGUAGAUAUAACCACAAAGGAUGGCGUUAGGGUUUUGUUUUACUUUUUCCGCAAGUUAACUAAACAUGUAGAUAUUUUUACCAGAUAAGGCUACUAGAUCAUUUGUAUUUAGCCCGACAGCUGAAAAUUUUGAUGUGAUGUUAGUAAGGCUUUCUACUGGAGAAGGAAUUGACGAAUUUGCCCCGGCUUGGUUUGCUGUGAGACUAUCUCUUCUGCCCAAUAAUACAGUCCAUGAAGGCCCUCCUGACUGACCAUGUUCAACCACGUACGUUUUAACUAGUGAGCAUAUGUAUUGUUUGCUAUGUCUUAUUAAGAAUGUGUUAUUACCAAAGAAACUGAGGCUUCUGAGGCAAGAGCUAAAACGUCAGAACAAGAGACGACGCCGGGACAAGCGUUCUCAAGGGCAGUCUUGAUAUUAUCGACAACGUUGAAUCCUCUUGCCGAGUUUGCAUUCGGUCCAGCAUUCUUCUCGCUCUGGAUGCUUCCACUGUCGUCAAGCAAGAUCGAUGCGUCACACCCCUUUUAGAAAAUAAAGAAAAGUAUCGGUUUAAGCGAGAAAAAGAUCAUAACGUUAAAGAGUUGUAUUGAGAAAGGAUUAGUAUACAUUAACAAAACAGUCGUGAAAAUGAAGGCGGAUGAGGCUAGCUCCGAUUCUAGAGUCGGACUGAAGGGCUUGCUGAAUAGUGGUACGUACGAUGGCAGAUGCGUUAGGGCACGUCCCUGAGUAAAACGUUGCAUUUAACUGCGCAUUUGAAGUUCCAAACAAUGAAGAUGAGAUGAUGAGAGUGGUGAGGAUUACGAUGAAGAAACCAUCACAAGUAGUAGGAGUAUUUGUUACAGCCAUUACUUAGGUUUUGGAAGUAACUAGUUUUGAAUUUUGUUUUUCUAUGAUUGGUGCGGAGCUUAUGAGUAUUCCAUAUCAUUUUGAAAUCAUUAUAUUUAUAGGCAGGGAAGGUUAUUAACGCGUACAUAUUGGCUGGUGAUGAAAGUGAAAGAUUUUAAAUUAAACCAAUAACUAGAUUAACGUGUGUGUUUGUGUACUAAGUCCAAAAGAUGAGAAAUAAGCUGGUGCUUCUACAUUUUCUUAAGUUAAAAGUUAUUUGUCUUUAGGUUAUACCAUCUCCAUCACUUGCAUUAUUGUAGUCCUUCCACGCGGUUGGUAAAUGAAUUUAUAAAUAGUGUAUACUAUAAGAAUAUAUCAGAUUUUGCGUUCUUGAGACGAAAUCUCGUUCUGGUGAUCAAGAUUGUUUUUUCUUCGUUCUAUCAUUAACAUUGGAAUACACUAAAACAUGAUAUAAAUUAUAUAUCGAAAUUAAACAUCUUUAAUGCAUUCUGAUUCCCAUGUUUAAUAUCGAGAAUUCAUAUAAAAAUGAAUGUGAAUGAAGAUCUCAAUUCUCACAUUGAUAGGCAGAAUUUCAAAUAUGCUUUUAAAAAAGUUAGUCUGCACAAAUUAGUUUAUAAGUCACAUUUAGUCUACACGAAUUAGUUUACAAGUCACAUUUCUGCAAAAUAACUGCUACCUUCAAGAGUUGUUAGACCUUUACAGCUGUAUUAAUUUUGAGAAAACAAAUAGAUUCAUAAUCAAGUGUUUUAUAAUGAGUGUUUACUUCACUGAUUUUGAUAAAGAACCUUCAGAAGUCUUACUUUCGAGAUGUUCCUUUGACAUUAACCUAUGUUCGCAGAUGCGUGACUAGCUCUGGAUUUUCGAGUGACGGUGAUAUGGAUUAUGACUCUUAGAAAGAGCUUAGAACAUACUAUAACGUAUUAUUCUUGAAAUUUACUAUAACUGUUAAUUCUGAAAGUUUUUUCUCUAUUUCAUUAGUUUUUACUAUGAUGAAGUCAAAUAAAUAAGUAUCUCUGAUAACUAACUACAUUGAAAAUUAAUAUUGAAAAAAGUAUUUUAAAAUGCACAUAUACAUGUAUAUAUAUAUUUUAUAUUGUAUAGCUUUUCUAAAAAAAUUGCUGAGAAAUAAAAUACACACAGUUUUAAGGCCCAGCUGGCUAUAUUUCCCAUCAAACUUGCUAAAUAAAAGCCAAAACUGAGGCAAUUCCCCUUCCAAUCUUCCAUCAUCACGGAAAAACUAGGACAUUUUCAACAUUCAGUGAACCUUCAAAACAAACUAAAUGAAGGUUCCACAAUGUGAAAAUGUCAUUUAUAACCAAUUUGUGCAUCAUUGAUGGAUUCAUUUCCCUAUAAACAUACGAUUCUUAAAAAUUAUUCUAUUUUAAUUUCCAGUAGUUUAAUGAUUAAACUAGAUUUUGUGAUAACAUAUUACAUUAGAGUUUUAUAUUGGCAUUUAUUUUGAAACGAACAACUCUUCUAAACUGUACAUAUUGCCAAGUUCAAAUUUUUUUUUCAACUAUUCUUAAUUAUUUUUUUUCUUUUCUUAAUAUAAUUUAAGCAUUCAUACAAAAAUUGAUUUUUUUUAUUGAAAAAUAUAAAUCUUUAUUAAAAGUAUAUAAUUUUUUUUAUUAAAAUAUUAACCACAUAAUAAAAUUAAUUUAUCAAAGUUAUACCAACUUAAUUCAUUAAAGAAAUAAAGUUUAAUUUUUUAAACAUAAAUAGUCAUUUAAAAUAAAAUACGAUAAAUAAAGAUAAAAAGUUUAAGUCUUUUAUAAAAUAAAAUACAAAUAUAUGAAAAUAUGACAUUUACUAAAUAUUUGUCAAUUGAAAAAAAAAUAUGCGUUUUGAAAGCGCAGAUCAAAAUCUAGUUAAAAUUUAAAACUGAUGCAUUAUUGGAUAGAUUUUUUUUCUUGAACAAACACAUUAUUGGAUAGAUAAUAACGCUAAAGCCAAAAGAAAAUUUGAAUAUUGUAAAUAGUCCUCCUAUAUGGUACGUUUGAAAUACAACGCCAACUUUGCUGUAAUGAUAAUUCUCAUGACAAUAUUUUUUCCAUAAUUGACUUAUACGUCAAUUCCAUAAUUGACAUGAUAUCCAUGACUCCAUCCACUAGUAUUGUAUGUAAUUUAUUAUAAUUUUUUUAACUGUAAUUUAUUAUAAAAGAUGUGAUACAUCCAUGUAUUUAGCAUAACAACAUAUUUGUAAUUAUUAAAACAUCGUAGGUUCAAGAUAUAAUUCUACUAGGUGUUACCACAUAAUUUUCCCCUACCAUUUUUGUACGAAAAUGGUUCAGCUUAUUCGAAUAAUUAUUCAUAUGUGAUAAACAAACGGUGAAACUAGUCUUCGCAUUUUUCACAUUUCUUCUAAAUUCACUGUUUUCUCAGCAGAGCCAGACCUUAACUCAAUUGCCUGAGUGGUGGAUUGUCCAUUAACCACCUUACAGUCUUGUCUAAUCUCUCCACUACUCCCAGUCAACGGACUAAUGUUCCCCAUUUUGAUCAUGGACAGAGCAAACGCCUCGAAAAACUGAGUUUGGUUACUUGCAAAGGAAGUAACAAUAGGGAUGGUGGGAGAACCGGUGUCAGAUAACAGUUCUUGGUCUGACUGAAGAAGACCAUUGUUGCUCUGAAGGUUGGUGAAGUAAUUGUUAUCGAAAGCAUCAGGUGUGCUCAGAUCAAGAUUGGUGACUACUGAUGCGCUGCCGUUUUGAGGACAUAGCUGUUGAAGACUGCUGAGAAGUGUUGAGUUUAGAGUCGGGUCUGGACUUCCUGUCCCAUUG
Molecule: long non-coding RNA, 3973 nt
Filed under: Brassica rapa (field mustard)
Lineage: Eukaryota; Viridiplantae; Streptophyta; Magnoliopsida; Brassicales; Brassicaceae
Description: long non-coding RNA (BRAP_LNC007968)
Source: RNAcentral